GCGAAGGUGGCGGAAUUGGCAGACGCACUGGAUUUAGGUUCCAGCGCCGCGAGGCGUGCGGGUUCAAGUCCCGCCCUUCGCACCA
RNAcentral lists this transfer RNA (85 nucleotides) under Burkholderiales bacterium. RNAcentral describes it as "tRNA-Leu". It matches the Rfam family "tRNA". From Rfam's summary of the family: Transfer RNA (tRNA) molecules are approximately 80 nucleotides in length. Their secondary structure includes four short double-helical elements and three loops (D, anti-codon, and T loops). RNAcentral also lists the same sequence under 11 other names. Lineage: Bacteria; Pseudomonadati; Pseudomonadota; Betaproteobacteria; Burkholderiales. The record is from RNAcentral.